UUGAACUAUGUGUACUUGCUGUAAAUAUGGACAAACAUUGAUAUGUGGGCUUUAGGUGGGUAUUUGAUAAGCAAAGAGUGCCCACAAAGGACCUACAUACAUUU
This is a non-coding RNA of Daucus carota subsp. sativus, 104 nucleotides long. The record is from Rfam. NCBI's taxonomy places the organism in Eukaryota, Viridiplantae, Streptophyta, Magnoliopsida, Apiales, Apiaceae.